AGAGUUUGAUCAUGGCUCAGAUUGAACGCUGGCGGCAGGCCUAACACAUGCAAGUCGAGCGGUAGCACAGAGAGCUUGCUCUCGGGUGACGAGCGGCGGACGGGUGAGUAAUGUCUGGGAAACUGCCUGAUGGAGGGGGAUAACUACUGGAAACGGUAGCUAAUACCGCAUAACGUCGCAAGACCAAAGUGGGGGACCUUCGGGCCUCAUGCCAUCAGAUGUGCCCAGAUGGGAUUAGCUAGUAGGUGGGGUAACGGCUCACCUAGGCGACGAUCCCUAGCUGGUCUGAGAGGAUGACCAGCCACACUGGAACUGAGACACGGUCCAGACUCCUACGGGAGGCAGCAGUGGGGAAUAUUGCACAAUGGGCGCAAGCCUGAUGCAGCCAUGCCGCGUGUGUGAAGAAGGCCUUCGGGUUGUAAAGCACUUUCAGCGGGGAGGAAGGCGNCGAUUGACGUUACCCGCAGAAGAAGCACCGGCUAACUCCGUGCCAGCAGCCGCGGUAAUACGGAGGGUGCAAGCGUUAAUCGGAAUUACUGGGCGUAAAGCGCACGCAGGCGGUCUGUCAAGUCGGAUGUGAAAUCCCCGGGCUCAACCUGGGAACUGCAUUCGAAACUGGCAGGCUAGAGUCUUGUAGAGGGGGGUAGAAUUCCAGGUGUAGCGGUGAAAUGCGUAGAGAUCUGGAGGAAUACCGGUGGCGAAGGCGGCCCCCUGGACAAAGACUGACGCUCAGGUGCGAAAGCGUGGGGAGCAAACAGGAUUAGAUACCCUGGUAGUCCACGCCGUAAACGAUGUCGAUUUGGAGGUUGUGCCCUUGAGGCGUGGCUUCCGGAGCUAACGCGUUAAAUCGACCGCCUGGGGAGUACGGCCGCAAGGUUAAAACUCAAAUGAAUUGACGGGGGCCCGCACAAGCGGUGGAGCAUGUGGUUUAAUUCGAUGCAACGCGAAGAACCUUACCUGGUCUUGACAUCCACAGAACUUUCCAGAGAUGGAUUGGUGCCUUCGGGAACUGUGAGACAGGUGCUGCAUGGCUGUCGUCAGCUCGUGUUGUGAAAUGUUGGGUUAAGUCCCGCAACGAGCGCAACCCUUAUCCUUUGUUGCCAGCGGU
RNAcentral lists this ribosomal RNA (1108 nucleotides) under Klebsiella pneumoniae. RNAcentral describes it as "bacterial SSU rRNA". It matches the Rfam family "Bacterial small subunit ribosomal RNA", at positions 8 to 1125 of the family's 1533-position model. The record is from RNAcentral. Lineage: Bacteria; Pseudomonadati; Pseudomonadota; Gammaproteobacteria; Enterobacterales; Enterobacteriaceae.